Molecule: ribosomal RNA, 575 nt
Filed under: Aspergillus flavipes
Lineage: Eukaryota; Fungi; Ascomycota; Eurotiomycetes; Eurotiales; Aspergillaceae
Also listed under: 1 other name
Description: eukaryotic LSU rRNA
Rfam family: Eukaryotic large subunit ribosomal RNA
Source: RNAcentral
AAAGAAACCAACCGGGAUUGCCUCAGUAACGGCGAGUGAAGCGGCAAGAGCUCAAAUUUGAAAGCUGGCCCCUCCGGGGUCCGCAUUGUAAUUUGCAGAGGAUGCUUCGGGUGCAGCCCCCGUCUAAGUGCCCUGGAAUGGGCCGUCAGAGAGGGUGAGAAUCCCGUCUGGGAUGGGGUGCCUGUGCCCGUGUGAAGCUCCUUCGACGAGUCGAGUUGUUUGGGAAUGCAGCUCUAAAUGGGUGGUAAAUUUCAUCUAAAGCUAAAUAUUGGCCGGAGACCGAUAGCGCACAAGUAGAGUGAUCGAAAGAUGAAAAGCACUUUGAAAAGAGAGUUAAACAGCACGUGAAAUUGUUGAAAGGGAAGCGCUUGCGACCAGACUCGCCUCCGGGGUUCAGCCGGCAUUCGUGCCGGUGUACUUCCCCGGGGGCGGGCCAGCGUCGGUUUGGGCGGCCGGUCAAAGGCCUCCGGAAUGUAGCGCCCUUCGGGGCGCCUUAUAGCCGGGGGUGCAAUGCGGCCAGCCUGGACCGAGGAACGCGCUUCGGCUCGGACGCUGGCAUAAUGGUCGUAAACGAC